RNAcentral lists this long non-coding RNA (200 nucleotides) under Musa acuminata (dwarf banana). RNAcentral's name for it is "long non-coding RNA (MACU_LNC008212)". The record is from RNAcentral. Lineage: Eukaryota; Viridiplantae; Streptophyta; Magnoliopsida; Zingiberales; Musaceae.
CUCGAUUUGUCUUUUUAACUCGUAACACUGCUCAGUGUCGUGCUCGUGUUGUCGAUGGAACCGGCAAUACUUUGAGCGGUCUGCGAGCUCUCGCGGGUUCUUCAUCGGGUGAGGGUCCCUGAGCAGCCCCUUCCCCCUUUCGUGUAGGAAUAUCUCAGUCCGGGAAGAGUUCAAGGCGGGAAGAGGAGGCCUUGGGUCGG